GACGAACGCUGGCGGCGUGCUUAACACAUGCAAGUCGAACGGAAAGGCCUGCUUUCCCUUGUGGAUUGCGGGUACUCGAGUGGCGAACGGGUGAGUAACACGUGAGUGAUCUGCCCCCAACUUGGGUAUAAGCCUGGGAAACUGGGUCUAAUUCCCGAUAGGACUGCAGGGUGGUGCCUGUGGUGGAAAACGAUUUUCUAGUGGUUGGGGAUGAGCUCGCGGCCUAUCAGCUUGUUGGUGGGGUAAUGGCCUACCAAGGCGGCGACGGGUAGCCGGCCUGGGAGGGUGGACGGCCACAUUGGGACUGAGAUACGGCCCAGACUCCUACGGGAGGCAGCAGUGGGGAAUAUUGCACAAUGGGCGGAAGCCUGAUGCAGCGACGCCGCGUGGGGGAUGACGGCCUUCGGGUUGUAAUCUCCUUUCGACCGCGAGGAAGCCACCUGGUUGGAAGGGUGGUGACGGUAGUGGUAGAAGAAGCACCGGCUAACUACGUG
This 494-nucleotide ribosomal RNA is filed under the name uncultured bacterium. Its description in RNAcentral is "partial 16S ribosomal RNA". It matches the Rfam family "Bacterial small subunit ribosomal RNA", at positions 28 to 507 of the family's 1533-position model. The record is from RNAcentral.